UACCUGCAGCUCGAGUGGUAACCGCUAUUAUUGGGCCUAAAGCGUCCGUAGCCGGUUUGGUAAAUAUCUGGGUAAAUCGUGAGGCUUAACUUCACGAAUUUCGGAUAGACUGCCAGACUUGGGAUCGGGGGAGGUCAGAGGUACUCCAGGGGUAGCGGUGAAAUGUUGUAAUCCUUGGAGGACCACCGGUAGCGAAGGCGUCUGACUAGAACGAGUCCGACGGUGAGGGACGAAGCCCUGGGGCGCAAACCGGAUUAGAUACCCGGGUAGUCCAGGGUGUGAACAAUGUGGGCUUUGUAUUGGAGGUCCCACGUGGGCGUCCAGUGCAGAAGAGAAGUUGUUAAGCCCACCGCCUGGGAAGUACGGUCGCAAGGCUGAAACUUAAAGGAAUUGGGCGGGGGAGCACAGCGAACGGGAGGAGCGUGCGGUUU
RNAcentral lists this ribosomal RNA (431 nucleotides) under uncultured archaeon. RNAcentral's name for it is "bacterial SSU rRNA". It matches the Rfam family "Archaeal small subunit ribosomal RNA", at positions 474 to 903 of the family's 1478-position model. The record is from RNAcentral.